GCAUCAUUCCCCAUCUUUGUCAAUUCGAUCAGCCUGCACUCUCUGGUUGUGUCAGAAGGAAAGUGCUUCCUGUUCGGAUAAACAGGCUGGGGUGCGGC
RNAcentral lists this microRNA precursor (98 nucleotides) under Ornithorhynchus anatinus (platypus). RNAcentral describes it as "microRNA oan-mir-1420a precursor". The stretch from base 8 to 93 matches the Rfam family "mir-1420 microRNA precursor family". Lineage: Eukaryota; Metazoa; Chordata; Mammalia; Monotremata; Ornithorhynchidae. The record is from miRBase by way of RNAcentral.